Molecule: long non-coding RNA, 410 nt
Filed under: Oryctolagus cuniculus (rabbit)
Lineage: Eukaryota; Metazoa; Chordata; Mammalia; Lagomorpha; Leporidae
Description: lncRNA (ENSOCUG00000037000.1)
Source: RNAcentral
AGGGUCUCCAUCGAGGGCGCGCGUCCACACGCCGGCUGCGGGGCUCUGGGGAGCAGGGGCCUGUGUUGAGGGGGUGUCCUGCAGGGCGCCAUCAGCCCAGUGCCCUCUACCGUGUGGCCGGAGGCUGUUCCGGGCCUGCCGUGGGGAAAACGCCGGCAGCUUCCUGGAGAGUUUGUUUUGGAACCGUGGCUUCUCUGAGAGCCCCUCAGAUGAGACAUAGCAACGUUCUUCCCUGGCUCCCAGCAUCGAAAUCCUGCUGUAACCCUGCCAGCUCUCCAGCCCUGCCGCAUUCCGCUGGGCGCUGCUUCUGUACCCAGCACACAGCACAAGGCCCCACACGUGGCAAGUGCUGCAAGAACAGUUUGCCGAGAACAACUGGACACUGGAAACAGCAUUUCAGAGCAAGAUAA